RNAcentral lists this ribosomal RNA (402 nucleotides) under uncultured microorganism. RNAcentral describes it as "bacterial SSU rRNA". It matches the Rfam family "Bacterial small subunit ribosomal RNA", at positions 9 to 416 of the family's 1533-position model. The record is from RNAcentral.
GAGUUUGAUCCUGGCUCAGAUUGAACGCUGGCGGCAUGCCUUACACAUGCAAGUCGAACGGUAACAGGUCUUCGGAUGCUGACGAGUGGCGAAUGGGUGAGUAAUACAUCGGAACGUGCCCGAUCGUGGGGGAUAACGGAGCGAAAGCUUUGCUAAUACCGCAUACGAUCUACGGAUGAAAGCAGGGGACCGCAAGGCCUUGCGCGGACGGAGCGGCCGAUGGCAGAUUAGGUAGUUGGGUGGAUAAAAGCUUACCAAGCCGACGAUCUGUAGCUGGUCUGAGAGGACGACCAGCCACACUGGGACUGAGACACGGCCCAGACUCCUACGGGAGGCAGCAGUGGGAAUUUUGGACAAUGGGCGAAAGCCUGAUCCAGCCAUGCCGCGUGCAGGAUGAAGGCC